This 254-nucleotide ribosomal RNA is filed under the name uncultured bacterium. RNAcentral's name for it is "partial 16S ribosomal RNA". It matches the Rfam family "Bacterial small subunit ribosomal RNA", at positions 524 to 776 of the family's 1533-position model. The record is from RNAcentral.
UACGAGUGCUUCAAGCGUUAUCCGGAAUCAUUGGGCGUAAAGGGUGUGUAGGCGGCUAUGUUAGUCUCGCGUAAAAUCUUUCGGCUCAACCGAGAGCUCGCGUGGGAAACGGCAUGGCUAAGAGGAUGGAAGGGGUCUGCGGAACUCAUGGUGUAGCGGUGAAAUGCGUUGAUAUCAUGGGGAACACCGAAAGCGAAGGCAGCAGACUGGUCCACUCCUGACGCUGAAACACGAAAGCGUGGGUCGCGAAUGGG